AAUAUUUGAAAAUGGGCGAAAGACUGAGCCAGCAAGGCGGCGUGUGUGAAGAAGGUCCACGAAAANGAGAGCACUUUAAGUUGGGGNGAGGGGAUGUAGAUUAAUACUCUGCAAUUUUGACGUUACGGACAGAAUAAGCACCGGCCAACUUCUUGCCAGCAGCUGCGGUAAUACGAAGGGUGCAAGCGUUAAUCGGAAUUACUGGGAGUAAAGCGCGCGUAGGUGGUUCGUUAAGUUGGAUGUGAAAGCGCCGGGCUCAACCUGGGAACUGCAUCCAAAACUGGCUAGCGGGAGUACGGUGGAGAAUGGUGGAAUUUCCUGUGUAGCGGUGAAAUGCGUAGGUAUAGGAAGGAACACCAGUGGCGAAGGCGACCACCUGGACUGGUACUGACACUGAGGUGCGAAAGCGUGGGGAGCAAACA
Molecule: ribosomal RNA, 422 nt
Filed under: uncultured bacterium
Lineage: Bacteria
Description: partial 16S ribosomal RNA
Rfam family: Bacterial small subunit ribosomal RNA
Source: RNAcentral